CGGUAAUACGUAGGGUGCAAGCGUUAAUCGGAAUUACUGGGCGUAAAGCGUGCGCAGGCGGUUGUGCAAGACAGAUGUGAAAUCCCCGGGCUCAACCUGGGAAUUGCAUUUGUGACUGCACGGCUAGAGUGUGUCAGAGGGGGGUAGAAUUCCACGUGUAGCAGUGAAAUGCGUAGAUAUGUGGAGGAAUACCGAUGGCGAAGGCAGCCCCCUGGGAUAACACUGACGCUCAUGCACGAAAGCGUGGGGAGCAAACAGGAUUAGAUACCCUGGUAGUCCACGCCCUAAACGAUGUCUACUAGUUGUCGGGUCUUAAUUGACUUGGUAACGCAGCUAACGCGUGA
Molecule: ribosomal RNA, 344 nt
Filed under: Herbaspirillum sp.
Lineage: Bacteria; Pseudomonadati; Pseudomonadota; Betaproteobacteria; Burkholderiales; Oxalobacteraceae
Description: bacterial SSU rRNA
Rfam family: Bacterial small subunit ribosomal RNA
Source: RNAcentral